UUUUAUCCUUCGUCUCGCUGCAACGGUUCUUACUUGAAGUAGAUCGAGAACUUGUGUUUCGCGAUUUCUUCAAUUUCAAAUUUUUCUGUUAUCUGGAUUCUUUUUUAUUCCCCCCGAGAUUUCUAUUGCUGUCAAUUUUCCGUUGAAAAGUUUUGUACGUUUCAGUUUAAUCCAUCGAAUCUAUAAUCUUCCGAUUGAUUUUUUUUUUAAUUCCAUUUCCAUCGGUUGAAAAGGAAUUUUCUUCAGUAUCUUCAAUAGAUUUUCAAGCGACAUUCUCUUUGUAUCUUUUCGAAUUUUGUUUUCUCGGAAAGUGAGGAAGCCUUUGGAGAAACUGUUUGGACUUCCGUUACUCUCUCCGACGGUUUUUCUCAAGUUUCCGAUUCGUUGAUUGUUGAGCUUUCCAAGGGUUUCGCCUUGUCUUCGUCUCUCUCAGUGAUGGGUUGCGCUUAUUCCAAAACUUGCAUUGGUCAGAUUUGCGCGACGAAGGAAAACAGCAUCAGGCAAACUCAUCAACAGGCUCCGGCGAGAGGCACGAAAGCUGCUUCGACCGCGACUCCGGCGGCGGCGGCGGCGACGACCGAGGGAGAGAAUCCGGUGUUCAAUUUCUCUUCAGAUGCAGUGGAUGAUGAAGACGACGACGAGAUUCAUCAGCUGAGCUUGAGCAGAGACCAGGAAUGGGGAAUCACUCGGCUUUCUAGGGUUUCUGCUCAAUUUCUACCACCAGAUGGGUCAAGGAUUGUCAAGGUCCCGUCUUGUAACUAUGAAUUGAGAUACUCGUUUCUCUCCCAAAGAGGGUAUUACCCUGAUGCUCUAGACAAGGCCAAUCAAGAUAGCUUCGCGAUUCACACGCCUUUUGGGAGCAACUCGGAUGAUCACUUCUUUGGGGUUUUCGAUGGGCAUGGCGAGUUUGGUGCGCAGUGCUCGCAGUUUGUGAAGCGGAGGCUGUGCGAGAAUCUUCUUAGACAUGGUAGGUUUCGUGUCGACGCUGCAGAGGCUUGUAAUUCGGCCUUCUUGAGCACGAAUUCUCAGUUACAUGCUGAUGUAGUAGAUGAUAGUAUGAGUGGAACAACGGCCAUUACUGUUAUGGUUAGAGGAAGGACGAUAUACGUGGCGAAUGCAGGUGAUUCGAGGGCGGUUUUAGCUGAGAGGAGAGAAGGUGAUCUUGUUGCUGUUGAUUUGUCAAUUGAUCAGACUCCGUUUAGACCUGAUGAGCUGGAAAGGGUUAAGCUUUGUGGAGCUAGAGUUCUUACUCUUGAUCAGAUUGAAGGCUUGAAAAACCCUGAUGUUCAGUGUUGGGGUACCGAGGAAGACGAUGAUGGAGACCCUCCGAGACUUUGGGUGCCCAAUGGGAUGUACCCAGGAACUGCUUUUACAAGGAGUAUUGGUGAUUCUAUUGCAGAGACAAUUGGGGUUGUUGCUAACCCUGAGAUUGCUGUUGUUGAGCUCACACCGGAUAAUCCUUUCUUUGUGGUUGCUAGUGAUGGUGUCUUCGAGUUCAUCUCUAGUCAGACUGUGGUUGACAUGGUUGCAAAACAUAAGGAUCCUAGAGAUGCUUGUGCUGCGAUUGUUGCUGAAUCAUAUAGGCUAUGGCUACAGUAUGAAACUCGUACAGAUGAUAUAACCAUCAUUGUCGUGCACAUUAAUGGGCUGAAAGAUGAUGCUCCUCGCCAGUUGACGAGUACGGGGACUCAAUUGCAGCCUCCUAUUCCACAAGUUGUGGAGCUGACAGGUUCGGAAUCUCCUUCCACCUUUGGAUGGAACUCUAAAAACCAACGCGUGAGGCAUGAUUUAUCGCGGGCUAGAAUACGCGCCAUUGAGAGUUCACUAGAGAAUGGACAUGCUUGGGUUCCUCCAUCUCCAGCCCAUAGGAAAACCUGGGAAGAAGAAGCACACAUUGAGCGGGUGUUGCGUGACCAUUUCCUCUUCAGGAAACUCACUGAAUCUCAGUGCCAGGUUUUGCUGGAUUGCAUGCAAAGGCUUGAAGUUAAUCCAGGGGAUGUUGUUGUGAAACAGGGUGGUGAAGGGGACUGCUUCUACGUAGUGGGUAGUGGAGAAUUCGAGGUCUUGGCAACUCAGGUUUGUUCCAUAGAUGAAAAGAACGGCGACGUGCCUAGGAUCUUGCAGCGGUAUACAGCUGAGAAACAAUCAUCAUUCGGUGAACUCGCCUUGAUGCAUAACAAGCCGCUUCAGGCUUCUGUACGUGCUGUGGACCAUGGAACAUUGUGGGCCUUGAAAAGAGAAAAUUUUCGAGGAAUUCUGAUGUCUGAGUUUUCAAAUUUGGCAUCUUUGAAGCUUCUUCGUUCUGUCGAUCUUCUUUCCCGUCUUACAAUUUUGCAACUAAGCCAUGUUGCAGAAUCUCUUUCCGACGCUUGCUUCUCCGAUGGACAAACAAUAGUUAACAAGGACGAAAAACUUCAGGGCCUGUAUGUUAUCCAGAAGGGACUCGUGAAAAUUACUUUCGGCACAGAGUUGUUGGAAAGUCAAAAUGCUUCAAGCCUUAAAACUGAUAUCACUAAAGAGUAUGAGAAUCUUGAAACCGGAACAGAGGUCUCCAUAGAAAAGCAAGAAGGAAGUUACUUUGGUGAAUGGGCUCUUCUUGGCGAACUCAAAGACUCUUUAAAAGCAGUAGCAGUGGGCGAAGUUGUCUGUGUGAUUUUAACAAAAGAAAAUUUCGAUUCAGCGGUCGGACCUCUGACCAAUCUUUCAGAUGAUGGUCAUAAGUCAAGACAUUCUUCGUUUGAUAUGUCCAAGGAAUCUGCAAAAGUUACUGAUACCACAGCUCUUGCUAAAGCCACCCUUGCAGACCUGGAAUGGACAGCAUGCUUGAGUUCAACAGACUGCAGUGAGAUCGGGCUCGUGCAUUUGAAAGAUAAAGAAAAUUUGCUUAGCUUGAAAAGAUUUUCAAAGCAAAAGGUGAAGAAGCUAGGUAAAGAGGCACAAGUCUUGAAAGAGCGGAAUCUGAUGAAGAACGAAAUAAAGCCUUCAGCUUUUGUUCCUGGAAUCUUGUGCACUUGUGCUGAUCAAACAUAUGCAGCCAUAUUACUCAACACAACUCUUGCUUGUCCUUUGUCUUCACUGCUUCAUUCUCCGCUUGACGAGUCAUCUGCCCGUUUCAUUACUGCUUCACUUGUCUCUGCCUUAGAAGAUAUACACAAGAACGGCAUACUCUUCAGAGGUUCAUCUCCCGAUUUACUGAUGUUGGAUCAAUCCGGAUAUCUACAGAUUGUAGACUUCAGAUUCUCCAAGAAACUGUCCGGGGAACGAACAUUUACAAUCUGUGGAAAUGCAGAUUAUUUAGCCCCGGAAAUUGUUCAAGGCAGAGGUCAUGGUUUCGCAGCUGACUGGUGGGCACUUGGAGUUUUGAUCUACUAUAUGCUAGAAGGUGAAAUGCCAUUCGGGUCAUGGAGAGAAAACGAGCUAGACACGUUUCAGAAGAUUGCUAAAGGCCAAUUAACUUUCCCUCGAGAUCUAAGCUCAGAAGCGGAAGAUCUCAUCACAAAGUUGCUUGAAGUUGAUGAAAACCUGCGGUUAGGUAGCAAAGAAGGUCCCGAGUCAAUCAAGAUACAUCCCUGGUUCAAUGGACUUAACUGGGGAGGGAUUAGUACCCGCGGAUUUCAAGUUCCUCAAGAGAUAAUCUCGCGCAUCUAUCACCAUCUUGAGAAUGACACCGUUCUUCCUCUAGAAACUUCCCAGUCGCUGGACAAUACAGAGGAUCAAGAUGCUCAAAACUGGCUUGAAGAAUGGUAAAAACAGAUUUUCAACAAAACCGCGACCUCUUUCCCGCGUCUAUUCAAUUCAAAUGUCCAUGCUUUACAGGAGUUCUCUGUUUUGUUCUGGCGGCGUAGCCUGCAGUAUUCAAACUUGGAGAAGGAAUAUUCUAGAAUUAUAACCAUACAGUUGUUUAGGUCAUAAACAAAAGAGAAUUUUACGGCCAACAAAUCCGACGGCUUCCAUCUUUGAAAUUAUAAGGUUCAAUUUCAUCUAUGUA
Molecule: RNA transcript, 3988 nt
Organism: Eutrema salsugineum
Lineage: Eukaryota; Viridiplantae; Streptophyta; Magnoliopsida; Brassicales; Brassicaceae
Gene name: protein phosphatase 2C and cyclic nucleotide-binding/kinase domain-containing protein
Exons: 15
Source: RefSeq, a predicted model, not a curated record